GAUGAACGCUGGCGGCGUGCCUAAUACAUGCAAGUCGAGCGAACGGACGAGAAGCUUGCUUCUCUGAUGUUAGCGGCGGACGGGUGAGUAACACGUGGAUAACCUACCUAUAAGACUGGGAUAACUUCGGGAAACCGGAGCUAAUACCGGAUGAUAUUUUGAACCGCAUGGUUCAAAAGUGAAAGACGGUCUUGCUGUCACUUAUAGAUGGAUCCGCGCUGCAUUAGCUAGUUGGUAAGGUAACGGCUUACCAAGGCAACGAUGCAUAGCCGACCUGAGAGGGUGAUCGGCCCCACUGGAACUGAGACACGGUCCGGCCUCCAAGGGGGGGCAGCAGGAGGGAAUCUUCCGCAAUGGGCGAAAGCCUGACGGAGCAACGCCGCGGGGGUGAUGAAGGUCUUCGGAUCGUAAAACUCUGUUAUUAGGGAAAAACAUAUGUGUAAGUAACUGUGCACAUUUUGACGGUACCAAAUCAGAAAGCCACGGCAAACUACGU
This 496-nucleotide ribosomal RNA is filed under the name uncultured bacterium. Its description in RNAcentral is "partial 16S ribosomal RNA". It matches the Rfam family "Bacterial small subunit ribosomal RNA", at positions 28 to 506 of the family's 1533-position model. The record is from RNAcentral.